Long non-coding RNA from Humulus lupulus (European hop), 709 nucleotides. RefSeq lists it as uncharacterized. The record is from RefSeq and is a predicted model, not a curated record. The transcript has 2 exons. Lineage: Eukaryota; Viridiplantae; Streptophyta; Magnoliopsida; Rosales; Cannabaceae.
AAACAAAAAAAAAUCCUUCCCCAAAAUAAAAUGUCUGAUACGAAAACCCUAUCUCUUUCUUUUCCAAGCCACUCUCCCCUCUCACUCUUUUCUGAUCCCUCUCGUUCUCUCUCUCCUGCUCGAAACACCGGCAGCUGGGGGCUUCAACUACGACGGCGAGGGGCUAUAUGAGGCUUCAACAACGGUGGAGGUCAAUUGGGGUGACAGAGGCUCAGCGGGACUGUUGGAUGCUUGACGACGGGGACUCGGAGAUUCGUUGGUGCAGGUAAAGAUCUCUCUCUCUCUGUAGUUGACCGAUGACUGGGCUGCAUGGGCUGGAGAUGGUGGUGCGACGGGGUGCCAUGGGUGUUCAGUCCACGGCUCGGUGUGGUGUUGUCUUCUCUAAAGCCGACCACACUCCUCUAGUCGACGGUACACCGACACUCCUCGAGCCGUGCGAAGCCGCCGCUCGCGACCGUUAUUGGCCCCAAGGUAAGGGAGUUGAUAGCUGGACUAGCCAAGAAUUGGAGAGCUUCAAGGGCGGUGUGUACAUAUCCAACCUGCUCAAUCGCCACGAUUGGGAUAGCUUGAGAGGAACUAGGUUUAAACCCUGUUUUUUCCGCUUAUGUUGGCCAUAUUGUGCCUGAUUAUCUUUUACAACUUUGUAACUUGAAUUUUGGGACCCCGUAUAAAAACUUAAUAUUUUAAUGAAAAAUAAUCAUUUUGUUGA